CGCCGCCGCGGUAAUACAGAGGGUGCGAGCGUUAAUCGGAUUUACUGGGCGUAAAGCGUGCGUAGGCGGCUUCUUAAGUCGGAUGUGAAAUCCCUGAGCUUAACUUAGGAAUUGCAUUCGAUACUGGGAAGCUAGAGUAUGGGAGAGGAUGGUAGAAUUCCAGGUGUAGCGGUGAAAUGCGUAGAGAUCUGGAGGAAUACCGAUGGCGAAGGCAGCCAUCUGGCCUAAUACUGACGCUGAGGUACGAAAGCAUGGGGAGCAAACAGGAUUAGAUACCCCAGUAGUCCCUGUCUCUUAUACC
Molecule: ribosomal RNA, 301 nt
Filed under: uncultured bacterium
Lineage: Bacteria
Description: partial 16S ribosomal RNA
Rfam family: Bacterial small subunit ribosomal RNA
Source: RNAcentral